UUGGUGUGAAUUGCAGGACACACUGAGCACUGAUUCUUUGAACGCACAUUGCGGCCUUGGGUCUUCCCUUGGCUUCGUCUGUCUGAGGGUCGGAUCAUAUAUCAAGAGAGCCGCAGCGCCCGAAGGGUGCGGUGCUCGCGACUCGUUUUGACCGCGUCGGCGUUAUGGACAGCACGUUGAACGCGAAAGGCUUGCGCAAAGGACAUGCGAGGAGGAGAUGCCAGAGAUUUGAGCGCACGUGCAAAGGGGAGGGUCCCGGGGGAUGCGUUCCCCGACCCCCUCGCGCUGGCGUUGGGAAGUCUGAUCGUGCGAAGCGGGAUCGCCCUUCGAAGCGUCCGGAAUCGGGCGGCGCUGAAUCGGAUUCGAAGGUGCGUGAGCACGUGCAAGACGACGCCGGAUGAGCGCGUGGAACGGGAGCGGAUGCAUUCCCUGCGCUCGUGCCUCUGACUUAUCUCGGAGACCGCGAAUCGGCUGCGAACCUCUCGCAGGGUGUGGAGGUGAGCAGGAGCGGAUACCGAGGUCCUGGCACACUGUCGAAAGGGUACGGAGCGCCUGAGCCGAGCGUGCUUGAAGGCGCGCUUGGCCGGCGGCCCCCUUUCCAGGCUUGUGCCGUCAGUCUCUGGGAAUCGGAAUUCUCCGACUCCGUGUUGGCGGUGGAAAUACGCGACUCGGCCGCGGCCUUCCGAUGGGUGAGAAGGCACGCGGAAGCGGAUUCCCCCCACUUUUGAACGCGCGCGCGUUGCCCGGUAGAAGAUUAGGCGCGCGCCGGCCAGACGCACUUCGCUGCAGGAAAGCCUCGGAAACGAUUCGGAAUGUUUCUACGAGUCGAUUGCCUGCAUGUGGGAAGGAGAUGCGUUAGCCGGUGCCCUUUUCUCCCGCGGAGAACGCACCCUUUGCCAAGCUGGACGCGAUCCGUCGUAGUCCGCCGUCGGUCUAAGUGCUUCGCAGUCUCUGCCCCAAGUAACCUGGGUCACUCCAGUGGGGGCGGGGGCGAACGUUUCUUGAGAUGAUGCUCGGCUCCCGGUUGAGGUCGUCCUCGUGAGGGUUUGCGAGGCGGCAGGGAAUUAUUCGACCGCGGGUGCACACGAGCCGCCUUAUCGUUUCUGCUGCGCCGUUGUUUGGUGUGCUUACCCCGUCUUUUGGCGACUGGCGGUAGUGUUCCGGGGAGUGAGAACGCGAAACCCUUCGCUUUGAGAGACGGUGCGGUGUGACGCGCCCGACAGCGCCGGAAACGAAAGACGUAUAUAUCCGUGUCGACCUCAGAUCAGGCGAGACAACCCGCUGAAUUUAAGCAUAUCACUAAGCGGAGGAAAAGAAACCAACAGGGAUUCCCUUAGUAGCUGCGAGCGAAACGGGACCUAGCCCAGCACCGAAUCCCUCGUCCUUGCCGGCGAUCGGGAAAUGUGGUGUAUGGGAGGCGACGUUCUCGGGUGUUUGCGACGGUGCAAGUCCCCCUGACAGGGGCUUGUCCCAGAGUGGGUGCCAGGCC
This 1489-nucleotide ribosomal RNA is filed under the name Haemaphysalis japonica. Its description in RNAcentral is "eukaryotic LSU rRNA". The stretch from base 1255 to 1489 matches the Rfam family "Eukaryotic large subunit ribosomal RNA", at positions 1 to 221 of the family's 3401-position model. Lineage: Eukaryota; Metazoa; Arthropoda; Arachnida; Ixodida; Ixodidae. The record is from RNAcentral.